RNAcentral lists this non-coding RNA (29 nucleotides) under Rattus norvegicus (Norway rat). Lineage: Eukaryota; Metazoa; Chordata; Mammalia; Rodentia; Muridae. The record is from RNAcentral.
UCCUUCAGAAUACUGCUAUCGAUGUCAAC